This 492-nucleotide ribosomal RNA is filed under the name uncultured bacterium. RNAcentral's name for it is "partial 16S ribosomal RNA". It matches the Rfam family "Bacterial small subunit ribosomal RNA", at positions 29 to 507 of the family's 1533-position model. The record is from RNAcentral.
AGUGAACGCUGGCGGUAGGCCUAACACAUGCAAGUCGAACGGCAGCACAGUAAGAGCUUGCUCUUACGGGUGGCGAGUGGCGGACGAGUGAGGAAUACAUCGGAAUCUACUUUUUCGUGGGGGAUAACGUAGGGAAACUUACGCUAAUACCGCAUACGACCUACGGGUGAAAGCAGGGGAUCUUCGGACCUUGCGCGAUUGAAUGAGCCGAUGUCGGAUUAGCUAGUUGGCGGGGUAAAGGCCCACCAAGGCGACGAUCCGUAGCUGGUCUGAGAGGAUGAUCAGCCACACUGGAACUGAGACACGGUCCAGACUCCUACGGGAGGCAGCAGUGGGGAAUAUUGGACAAUGGGCGCAAGCCUGAUCCAGCCAUACCGCGUGGGUGAAGAAGGCCUUCGGGUUGUAAAGCCCUUUUGUUGGGAAAGAAAAACAGCAGGUUAAUACCCCGCUGUUCUGACGGUACCCAAAGAAUAAGCACCGGCUAACUUCGUG